Molecule: ribosomal RNA, 818 nt
Filed under: uncultured Acinetobacter sp.
Lineage: Bacteria; Pseudomonadati; Pseudomonadota; Gammaproteobacteria; Moraxellales; Moraxellaceae
Description: bacterial SSU rRNA
Rfam family: Bacterial small subunit ribosomal RNA
Source: RNAcentral
GAGCGGAGUGAUGGUGCUUGCACUAUCACUUAGCGGCGGACGGGUGAGUAAUGCUUAGGAAUCUGCCUAUUAGUGGGGGACAACAUUUCGAAAGGAAUGCUAAUACCGCAUACGUCCUACGGGAGAAAGCAGGGGAUCUUCGGACCUUGCGCUAAUAGAUGAGCCUAAGUCGGAUUAGCUAGUUGGUGGGGUAAAGGCCUACCAAGGCGACGAUCUGUAGCGGGUCUGAGAGGAUGAUCCGCCACACUGGGACUGAGACACGGCCCAGACUCCUACGGGAGGCAGCAGUGGGGAAUAUUGGACAAUGGGCGCAAGCCUGAUCCAGCCAUGCCGCGUGUGUGAAGAAGGCCUUAUGGUUGUAAAGCACUUUAAGCGAGGAGGAGGCUACUGAAGUUAAUACCUUCAGAUAGUGGACGUUACUCGCAGAAUAAGCACCGGCUAACUCUGUGCCAGCAGCCGCGGUAAUACAGAGGGUGCAAGCGUUAAUCGGAUUUACUGGGCGUAAAGCGCGCGUAGGCGGCUAAUUAAGUCAAAUGUGAAAUCCCCGAGCUUAACUUGGGAAUUGCAUUCGAUACUGGUUAGCUAGAGUGUGGGAGAGGAUGGUAGAAUUCCAGGUGUAGCGGUGAAAUGCGUAGAGAUCUGGAGGAAUACCGAUGGCGAAGGCAGCCAUCUGGCCUAACACUGACGCUGAGGUGCGAAAGCAUGGGGAGCAAACAGGAUUAGAUACCCUGGUAGUCCAUGCCGUAAACGAUGUCUACUAGCCGUUGGGGCCUUUGAGGCUUUAGUGGCGCAGCUAACGCGAUAAGUAGACCGCCUGG